GACGUAGGGCGCGAGCGUUGUCCGGAUUUAUUGGGCGUAAAGAGCUCGUAGGCGGCUUGUCGCGUCGUUCGUGAAAGUUCCACGGCUCAACUGUGGGCUUGCGGGCGAUGACGGGCGGCUGGAGUUCGGUAGGGGAGACUGGAAGUUCCUGGUGUAGCGGUGAAAUGCGCAGAUAUCAGGAGGAACACCGGUGGCGAAGGCGGGUCUCUGGGCCGAUACUGACGUGAGGAGCGAAAGCGUGGGGAGCGAACAGG
RNAcentral lists this ribosomal RNA (254 nucleotides) under uncultured bacterium. RNAcentral's name for it is "partial 16S ribosomal RNA". It matches the Rfam family "Bacterial small subunit ribosomal RNA", at positions 524 to 776 of the family's 1533-position model. The record is from RNAcentral.